Molecule: ribosomal RNA, 744 nt
Filed under: uncultured bacterium
Lineage: Bacteria
Description: bacterial SSU rRNA
Rfam family: Bacterial small subunit ribosomal RNA
Source: RNAcentral
AGAGUUUGAUCCUGGCUCAGAGCGAACGCUGGCGGCAGGCUUAACACAUGCAAGUCGAGCGGGCGUAGCAAUACGUCAGCGGCAGACGGGUGAGUAACGCGUGGGAACGUACCUUUUGGUUCGGAACAACACAGGGAAACUUGUGCUAAUACCGGAUAAGCCCUUACGGGGAAAGAUUUAUCGCCGAAAGAUCGGCCCGCGUCUGAUUAGCUAGUUGGUGAGGUAAUGGCUCACCAAGGCGACGAUCAGUAGCUGGUCUGAGAGGAUGAUCAGCCACAUUGGGACUGAGACACGGCCCAAACUCCUACGGGAGGCAGCAGUGGGGAAUAUUGGACAAUGGGCGCAAGCCUGAUCCAGCCAUGCCGCGUGAGUGAUGAAGGCCCUAGGGUUGUAAAGCUCUUUUGUGCGGGAAGAUAAUGACGGUACCGCAAGAAUAAGCCCCGGCUAACUUCGUGCCAGCAGCCGCGGUAAUACGAAGGGGGCUAGCGUUGCUCGGAAUCACUGGGCGUAAAGGGUGCGUAGGCGGGUCUUUAAGUCAGGGGUGAAAUCCUGGAGCUCAACUCCAGAACUGCCUUUGAUACUGAGGAUCUUGAGUUCGGGAGAGGUGAGUGGAACUGCGAGUGUAGAGGUGAAAUUCGUAGAUAUUCGCAAGAACACCAGUGGCGAAGGCGGCUCACUGGCCCGAUACUGACGCUGAGGCACGAGAGCGUGGGGAGCAAACAGGAUUAGAUACCCUAGUAGUCC